Molecule: ribosomal RNA, 2925 nt
Filed under: Klebsiella aerogenes
Lineage: Bacteria; Pseudomonadati; Pseudomonadota; Gammaproteobacteria; Enterobacterales; Enterobacteriaceae
Description: 23S ribosomal RNA
Rfam family: Bacterial large subunit ribosomal RNA
Source: RNAcentral
GGGUUGUGAGGUUAAGCGACUAAGCGUACACGGUGGAUGCCCUGGCAGUCAGAGGCGAUGAAGGACGUGCUAAUCUGCGAAAAGCGUCGGUAAGGUGAUAUGAACCGUUAUAACCGGCGAUGUCCGAAUGGGGAAACCCAGUGCAAUUCGUUGCACUAUCGUUAACUGAAUACAUAGGUUAACGAGGCGAACCGGGGGAACUGAAACAUCUAAGUACCCCGAGGAAAAGAAAUCAACCGAGAUUCCCCCAGUAGCGGCGAGCGAACGGGGAGCAGCCCAGAGUCUGAAUCAGCUUGUGUGUUAGUGGAACGGUCUGGAAAGUCCGACGGUACAGGGUGAUAGUCCCGUACACCAAAAUGCACAGGCUGUGAACUCGAAGAGUAGGGCGGGACACGUGGUAUCCUGUCUGAAUAUGGGGGGACCAUCCUCCAAGGCUAAAUACUCCUGACUGACCGAUAGUGAACCAGUACCGUGAGGGAAAGGCGAAAAGAACCCCGGCGAGGGGAGUGAAAAAGAACCUGAAACCGUGUACGUACAAGCAGUGGGAGCACCUUCGGGUGUGACUGCGUACCUUUUGUAUAAUGGGUCAGCGACUUAUAUUCUGUAGCAAGGUUAACCGUAUAGGGGAGCCGCAGGGAAACCGAGUCUUAACUGGGCGUUAAGUUGCAGGGUAUAGACCCGAAACCCGGUGAUCUAGCCAUGGGCAGGUUGAAGGUUGGGUAACACUAACUGGAGGACCGAACCGACUAAUGUUGAAAAAUUAGCGGAUGACUUGUGGCUGGGGGUGAAAGGCCAAUCAAACCGGGAGAUAGCUGGUUCUCCCGAAAGCUAUUUAGGUAGCGCCUCGUGAACUCAUCUUCGGGGGUAGAGCACUGUUUCGGCUAGGGGUCAUCCCGACUUACCAACCCGAUGCAAACUACGAAUACCGAAGAAUGUUAUCACGGGAGACACACGGCGGGUGCUAACGUCCGUCGUGAAGAGGGAAACAACCCAGACCGCCAGCUAAGGUCCCAAAGUCACAGUUAAGUGGGAAACGAUGUGGGAAGGCACAGACAGCCGGGAUGUUGGCUUAGAAGCAGCCAUCAUUUAAAGAAAGCGUAAUAGCUCACUGGUCGAGUCGGCCUGCGCGGAAGAUGUAACGGGGCUAAACUGUGCACCGAAGCUGCGGCAGCGACACUAUGUGUUGUUGGGUAGGGGAGCGUUCUGUAAGCCUGCGAAGGUGGCCUGUGAGGGUUGCUGGAGGUAUCAGAAGUGCGAAUGCUGACAUAAGUAACGAUAAUGCGGGUGAAAAGCCCGCACGCCGGAAGACCAAGGGUUCCUGUCCAACGUUAAUCGGGGCAGGGUGAGUCGACCCUAAGGCGAGGCCGAAAGGCGUAGUCGAUGGGAAACAGGUUAAUAUUCCUGUACUUGGUGUUACUGCGAAGGGGGACGGAGAAGGCUAUGUUAGCCGGGCGACGGUUGUCCCGGUUUAAGCAUGUAGGCGGAGGUUCCGGUAAAUCCGGUACCUUUUUAACGCUGAGGUGUGAUGACGAGGCACUACGGUGCUGAAGUAACAAAUGCCCUGCUUCCAGGAAAAGCCUCUAAGCAUCAGGUAACAUUGAAUCGUACCCCAAACCGACACAGGUGGUCAGGUAGAGAAUACCAAGGCGCUUGAGAGAACUCGGGUGAAGGAACUAGGCAAAAUGGUGCCGUAACUUCGGGAGAAGGCACGCUGAUAUGUAGGUGAAGCCCCUGCGGGUGGAGCUGAAAUCAGUCGAAGAUACCAGCUGGCUGCAACUGUUUAUUAAAAACACAGCACUGUGCAAACACGAAAGUGGACGUAUACGGUGUGACGCCUGCCCGGUGCCGGAAGGUUAAUUGAUGGGGUUAUCCGUAAGGAGAAGCUCUUGAUCGAAGCCCCGGUAAACGGCGGCCGUAACUAUAACGGUCCUAAGGUAGCGAAAUUCCUUGUCGGGUAAGUUCCGACCUGCACGAAUGGCGUAAUGAUGGCGGGCUGUCUCCACCCGAGACUCAGUGAAAUUGAACUCGCUGUGAAGAUGCAGUGUACCCGCGGCAAGACGGAAAGACCCCGUGAACCUUUACUAUAGCUUGACACUGAACAUUGAGCCUUGAUGUGUAGGAUAGGUGGGAGGCUUUGAAGCGUGGACGCCAGUCUGCGUGGAGCCAACCUUGAAAUACCACCCUUUAAUGUUUGAUGUUCUAACGUUGGCCCCUGAUCGGGGUUGCGGACAGUGUCUGGUGGGUAGUUUGACUGGGGCGGUCUCCUCCCAAAGAGUAACGGAGGAGCACGAAGGUUAGCUAAUCCUGGUCGGACAUCAGGAGGUUAGUGCAAUGGCAUAAGCUAGCUUGACUGCGAGCGUGACGGCGCGAGCAGGUGCGAAAGCAGGUCAUAGUGAUCCGGUGGUUCUGAAUGGAAGGGCCAUCGCUCAACGGAUAAAAGGUACUCCGGGGAUAACAGGCUGAUACCGCCCAAGAGUUCAUAUCGACGGCGGUGUUUGGCACCUCGAUGUCGGCUCAUCACAUCCUGGGGCUGAAGUAGGUCCCAAGGGUAUGGCUGUUCGCCAUUUAAAGUGGUACGCGAGCUGGGUUUAGAACGUCGUGAGACAGUUCGGUCCCUAUCUGCCGUGGGCGCUGGAGAAUUGAGGGGGGCUGCUCCUAGUACGAGAGGACCGGAGUGGACGCAUCACUGGUGUUCGGGUUGUCAUGCCAAUGGCAUUGCCCGGUAGCUAAAUGCGGAAGAGAUAAGUGCUGAAAGCAUCUAAGCACGAAACUUGCCCCGAGAUGAGUUCUCCCUGAGACUUUAAGUCUCCUGAAGGAACGUUAAAGACGAUGACGUUGAUAGGUCGGGUGUGUAAGCGUAGCGAUACGUUGAGCUAACCGAUACUAAUGAACCGUGAGGCUUAACCUUACAACGCCGAAGCUGUU